RNA transcript from Melanotaenia boesemani (Boeseman's rainbowfish), 3579 nucleotides. It is a transcript of the gene named receptor activity-modifying protein 1-like, with no coding region annotated. The transcript has 4 exons. The record is from RefSeq and is a predicted model, not a curated record. NCBI's taxonomy places the organism in Eukaryota, Metazoa, Chordata, Actinopteri, Atheriniformes, Melanotaeniidae.
GGCUUCUUCCACACACCGCGCCGCAAACUGCGAUUUAAUUUGCUUGUCACGUCAAAUCAGACUCUUUGGUUUUUAAUACUGGGUUGAGAAUGAGACGCGUGCUGCGGAUUUCCAGGGAGUGAGAAGACUUAAAGCGCGUUGUGGAGCUUGGAUUCAGUAUGGUUCUGGGGAGCGCCUCGCUCCUGAGAGCGGGGCUUGUGUUGUUGCUGGCAGCUCAAGUCUUCCCAUCUGUGUCCGGCUGCAACAGAGGUAACUAUGAAACGAUCAUCCAUGAACUCUGCCUUGCUAAGUUCAAGUUCAACAUGGAAGGACUGGAUCGAGGUUUGUGGUGCAGCUGGCCGGACACAACAGAGAUCUACGAAGGACUUACAAACUGCACCUACCAGGUAGCCUUGAGGAUGGACUGCUUCUGGCCCAAUCUGGUAGUCGACAGCUUCUUCAUGCAUAUUCACCAGGUCUACUUCCACGACUGUGCCCUGACCGGCCGGCUCCUCCACGACCCCCCGAUCAGCAUCUUGGUGCCAUUCAUCGCCGUGCCGGUGCUGAUAACCCUGCUCAUCACCACCGUGGUGGUGUGGAGGAGUAAACGCACAGGAGGGGUGCUGUAGGGGGAGACAGGGUGCUGGAUUUGACCUCUGGAGUCAAGCAGAGAGCCAAAUAGUAUGCCAAGAAGGAUUUUGUGAAGGUCACAGAUGAAGAAGAACCACGGGGUGUCCACCAAGAAGUUAAGAACAUCCUUUGUUGUUUUUCUUUUUGUUUUUUGUUUUUUUGUUUUUUUUUACAGAAUCGAGGAGCAUUUUACUUGUUAAAUUUUUAAACAUUUCUCAUCAAUUUACAUGAAGUAUUAAAGGGAAUUCACAGGUUUUUUGUUUAUCUGAUGAUCUGCUAAAGAAGUUCAUUUAAUGUAAUUACACAUUUCCCUUUAUUGCACCGUUUUAUGCAAUAACCUUGCCAGUCAAAUUUUACCUUCUGUUCAGACUGAAAUCUACAAAAGCUCAACACAAAAAGAGUUCAGCCAAACUAAGCUUACUUUUACAGACAGUUUCUUGAAGAUGUUUCACUGUCAUCCAAGAUGAGCUUCUUUAGUUCUGUUGGAGAUAGUAUGAGAGUUCAUUUAAGUAACCUGAUAUUCUAGAGUAUACAACAUUAUUGAAUCUUAACUCAUGUGAUGUCCUUCUUAAUUAUUGUCACUUGUUGAUGCAGUUCAGUGCUGUGAGGACUGCAAUUAGCUCUACAUUAUGAAACCAAUAUAACACUCAACAGAUGGAUGGCUCAACACAGAAGAACCAACUUAUCAGGCCAGAACUCGGCUCAUUUCCUGCAUUCCAAUGAUAAAAGACCCACCUUUGAGAAUCAUGACGUUAAAAUCUUGAACAGAGAAGACAAAUGGUUUGGGAAACCUUCACUGAAAAGAGGAGGUUGACUGCUCCCUUUUUACACGUAAAUAGAUACAUUUUCAAACACUGGUGUCCUCAUUCUCUCAUGUAUCCUUUCUGUUGGUAUGGUUUUUGGGAAAAACAUCGACCAGCGGAUAAUGAUGAUUUCACUUCCUAGUUCUGACACUUCCUAUUUGGACAACAGUAAACAUGGCAACAGUGCAGGAGAUCAUAAUAAUGUAUAUUCUCAGAAAGAGACACAAAUAGCAGUGCGGUAAACAGCAACAAUCUGUGCACCCAUGAAAUACACAGCUUCUUUUUUCUUCUUUGUUCCUUCUGCUGGUCGCACGUCAGCUAUGCUGUGUUACACUGUCCCCAUAGUUUCUGGUGGUACAGCUUCAUUUGCUACGUUGGGCUAUGCAUCUGUAAAAAUGUCUGAAAAUGGAAGUUUUGCACAUAAAUUAAGUAGAAGAUGAAUGAAAGGCUCUGUAUCUGUUUUUAUGGAAGAGCAGUGAUUCCCGAACUGGGGUGGGCUCACUGCUAGCAAAACAUGGACAAAUACGCAGGGCACUUUAUUGUAAAUGUCGGGUUGCAUGUGGUCAUGAUGGUGGGAUAGAGGGGUUUGACACUAUUGUGGUCAAUGAAAAGGGGGCCCUGCAGAAAAAGUUUGGUAAGCAUUAGUGCAGAGCAUGAAUAAGCCUUAAGGGCUGGGAUAUACUCACUGUUAGCGACAUGCCUGUGAACUUAUCAUGGUUGCUAAGCAUUCCUGGUGUUCAUUUGGCAUGUAGACUGCUCACGUUGACACGAGGUAACAUGGCGCGUGUCCGAUUUGCUAUAUUGACUCAAACACUAUGUACUCAUGUGAACAAGAACAUAAACAAGAUAGGUCAGAGGUAAACACAAUGGCGGAUAGUUUUGAAGACCAUCUCUUAGACCUUGCCUACAACUACCGCCAUCUGUAUGAGUUUUUUCUCCCCAUUGCAUACUUGUACCUUAACAGUUGGCAACACAUUGGAACUGUUUUGGGGGUUGAUACCCCAGAUUUACAAUAUGACCAGCAGAUUGACCUUUUGACUAUUUGAGAGUCCAAGUGCUGUGUACUGCCCCUCCAGUAUUAUGCGUUUUGAUCAUGCUGUGCUUCCGUAGUUUGCACAAAUGUAGCAGAACACUGACGUCUAAGGGUGUCCAUUAAAAAGUGAUAAUGGACACUUAUGAAAGAAGUUCCGUUCAAAUAGACUUAUUGUUGUAAAUUAUUGCGCCGACUAAACAGUAGUUGGUAACCGUGGCAUCAGCUGCAGGGCUGCAGACACGCCAGAUCAUGUCUGUGACGCGCAUUGCUGUGAAGGCAGCUUGCAGGUUUAUUGGGCUCCGUCAGUCCAGGAGAGACGAGAAUGGAGCAACAUUCUGUCGUCCCGGAGCGUCCCAACCAGCAGUGGUCAGGGUUCACAAACGUUAAAUCUCCGUCCUUCAAACACCACUAUGGACAUGCCAGUAUCUUUACAAAAUGUCACAAUCAACGACAAUGUUGCAUUUAAUUUUAAAUAGGUGUCGCCUGUCUUUCUGUCUUGAUUACCUUACUUACAUACUUGAUACAGAGUGAAUGGUGGAUAACAUUUCUUGCAAUAAAAAACAAUUUAGGAAACUAUCUGUUGGACUAUCGGUGGACUUUCACUGUUUAAAACAAAAUUUCGCAUCAUCCUCUGUACACACACAAGCUAUAAGAGCUUCACCCGUAACAUAACCACGGCCGACCAAGCUGCAGGGUCUGUGUCAGAGCCGGUUACUUUGGCAACGCAUCACAAGGAACUAGUCCACUCAGCCGCUUCUUAUGAAAAACUUGCGAUUUUAACUGUAAAGAACAACAUUAAUGCAUUAAUAAUUUUUUUUUCUUUCAUAAGUGACCAUGGUAUAAGCGGGAUAAUGCCCAUCGAGGUGUCCAUUUAUCAUAAAUUAAUGGACUUCGCGUCGGACUGUUCAUGCCUCUGCGUAGUCCAUUAAUUUAUGAUAAUGUACACCUCGUCGGGCAUUAUCUCUUAUGUAUAUCUGAGCCCUAAGACACCACCUCUUUCCCACCUAUAAUAGCAUCCUAUCAUCCAGGUUAAAAACUUUUCUUUUCUCAUGCGCCUAUGCAUGAAAUCUGCACGGUAACUUUUUUUUAACUUAUCUUGCUUUUAAUCAUUUUAAUGUAAUUUAUUAUUUUAUU